This 1088-nucleotide long non-coding RNA is filed under the name Homo sapiens (human). RNAcentral's name for it is "HSALNT0287019". Lineage: Eukaryota; Metazoa; Chordata; Mammalia; Primates; Hominidae. The record is from RNAcentral.
UAGGCUCAGAGACUCCAGUGCAGCCACAUGGUGGAAGAAGAUUUAUGCAUAGAAAAAUCAAAGUGACAUUAAAAAAACAGAAAUGAGAGUCUCUGGAUUCACGGGUCUGGAUAGGUGGCCAUGAUGACGUCUGGAGAUUUGUUCUAAGUGCCGAGACCAGAAGCUACAAGCCAAAAUUAAGCCCAACAUGGUCCCUUCUACCUCUGCUUUUCCUGUUUUGCCUCCUGGCUAUUUUCGGAGGAGUUGGAUCUUUCAGUUACUUGUUUCAAUCAAGAAAAAUGACAGAGAUGCUACUUACCCAUAAAAAGGACCGAAGUAAUGGCAUUUGCAGUAACCUGGAUAGAAUUGGAGACUGUUAAUCUAAGUGAAGUAACUCAGGAAUGGAAAGCCAAACAUUGUACGUUCUCAGUCAGAAGUGGGAUCUAAGCUAUGAGGACAUAAAGGCAUAAGACUAAUACAACGGUGUUUGGAGACUCAGGUGAAGGGGUGUAAGGGGGUGAGGGAUAAGAGUACACAUUGGGUACAGUGUACACUGCUCAGGUGAUGGGUGCAUCAAAAUCUCAGAAAUCACCACUAAAGAAUCUAUUCAUAUACAAAAAUUAAUUAAUUAAUUAGUUAAAAAAUAACUGAUCUGCUGUCACUCUAGAUUAUAUUUGUCUUUUUUGGAGUUCCACAUAAAUGGAAUCAUACAAUGUACUAUUUUGUGUCUGAUUUCUUUCACUCAGCAUAGUUUUACGAUUUAACCAUGUAGUUACAGAUAUCAUUCCUUGUUAUUGUUGAGUAUUCCAUUGUAGAGAUACACUACAAUUUGUUUAUUUGUUUAUCUAUUAAUAGGCAUUUGAGUUGUCUCCAGUUUGGGAUUCCUACAAAUAAAGCUGUUAAGAACAUUAAAAAAAAAUGACCGGGAAAAAUUUCAAUCAUUUUAGGAGGUUUACUUGUCAAAGUUAAGGACGAGCACUGGGGAGACAGGCCUAUGCCUUUCUCUGAAGCUGAUUUUGAGGGCUCCAAAUUUAGAGGGGAAAAUAUUGAGAAAUACACAAUUUUCAUGUAAGAGGAGGGCGGGGGAAAAUAGUCAUUCAUGCCUUUGU